UAGUCCACGCCGUAAACGAUGAUCACUCGUUGUUGGCAAUACAUCGUCAGCGACUGAGCGAAAGCAUUAAGUGAUCCACCUGGGGAGUACGGUCGCAAGAUUGAAACUCAAAGGAAUUGACGGGGGCCCGCACAAGCGGAGGAACAUGUGGUUUAAUUCGAAGCAACGCGAAGAACCUUACCAGGCCUUGACAUGUAUGGAUUAGGUAUGUGAAAGCAUACUGACACUCUCACGAGUGGAACAUACACAGGUGCUGCAUGGCUGUCGUCAGCUCGUGCCGUGAGGUGUUAGGUUAAGUCCUUUAACGAGCGAAACCCCUACUGUUAGUUGCCAUCGGGUCAUGCCGGGGACUCUAGCAGGACUGCCGCGUUCAAGUUGGAGGAAGGUGGGGACGACGUCAAGUCAUCAUGGCCCUUAUGGUCUGGGCUACACACGUCCUACAAUGGAUAGUACAAAGGGUUGCGAAGUCGUGAGGCGGAGCCAAUCCCAAAAGCUA
Molecule: ribosomal RNA, 496 nt
Filed under: uncultured bacterium
Lineage: Bacteria
Description: bacterial SSU rRNA
Rfam family: Bacterial small subunit ribosomal RNA
Source: RNAcentral